This is a long non-coding RNA of Populus nigra (black poplar), 613 nucleotides long. RefSeq lists it as uncharacterized. Lineage: Eukaryota; Viridiplantae; Streptophyta; Magnoliopsida; Malpighiales; Salicaceae. The transcript is spliced from 2 exons. The record is from RefSeq and is a predicted model, not a curated record.
GUCCUAAAAUUAGAAAAUAAAAGCCAAGGCAUGACUUAUAUUGCUGGUGGUGGUUACUAACCCUGGUUAGUUUAGCAUCCCGAAAACAAGAUUCACACUUUUCUUUGUGGUCUACAAUUAUCGCUUGAGUUUUCUCUGCCCCUAUUAUUAGAUUUAUGGCUUCUUCUUAGAUCAAGAUUGCUUCAUCUUCACCAUUUGUUUGUGGUCUAAUAGAUCACAAUCGACAUGAACGAUGAUGUAAUAGAGAGAGCAAGAGAAAAAAAGGAGAGUCAUGAGGAGCUGGAGGUAGGAUUAUCUACUCUGCUCGCAAAUUUGAACCGGUAUGGCAGAUCUGAACCGCAUAUGCAGAGCAUGGAAUGACCUCUACAUCUGUUGGUACUUCUACAAGCUACAGUGAAAAAGCAUGAAAAAUAAGCCGGGUCUCAGCCGGGUUUAUCCAGGUCGGUCGAGUUUCGCCGGACCAACUCUCAGACGGGUUUUUGCUUAGACCCGACCCGAUUUCAUGCCCGGAUCGGCCCGCCGGGUCGGUCCGGGUUUUAAAACUAUGCUAAUAGCUUCCUCGUUGAUGCCUAAUUCCAGUGACAAAAAUAAAUAAAAUAGGGACUUUUGUCAA